This 483-nucleotide ribosomal RNA is filed under the name uncultured bacterium. Its description in RNAcentral is "partial 16S ribosomal RNA". It matches the Rfam family "Bacterial small subunit ribosomal RNA", at positions 30 to 506 of the family's 1533-position model. The record is from RNAcentral.
AUUGAACGCUGGCGGCAGGCCUAACACAUGCAAGUCGAGCGGAUGAAGGGAGCUUGCUCCUGGAUUCAGCGGCGGACGGGUGAGUAAUGCCUAGGAAUCUGCCUGGUAGUGGGGGAUAACGUCCGGAAACGGGCGCUAAUACCGCAUACGUCCUGAGGGAGAAAGUGGGGGAUCUUCGGACCUCACGCUAUCAGAUGAGCCUAGGUCGGAUUAGCUAGUUGGUGGGGUAAAGGCCUACCAAGGCGACGAUCCGUAACUGGUCUGAGAGGAUGAUCAGUCACACUGGAACUGAGACACGGUCCAGACUCCUACGGGAGGCAGCAGUGGGGAAGAGUGGACGAUGGGCGAAAGCCUGAUCCAGCCAUGGCGCGUGUGUGAAGAAGGUCUUCGGAUUGUAAAGCACUUUAAGUUGGGAGGAAGGGCAGUGAGUUAAUACCUUGCUGUUUUGACGUUACCAGCAGAAUAAGCACCGGCUAACUUCGU